UAAUUUCUUUACCCGUUCCA
RNAcentral lists this small nuclear RNA (20 nucleotides) under Arabidopsis thaliana (thale cress). RNAcentral describes it as "snRNA_09884". Lineage: Eukaryota; Viridiplantae; Streptophyta; Magnoliopsida; Brassicales; Brassicaceae. The record is from RNAcentral.